This 433-nucleotide ribosomal RNA is filed under the name uncultured bacterium. Its description in RNAcentral is "partial 16S ribosomal RNA". It matches the Rfam family "Bacterial small subunit ribosomal RNA", at positions 29 to 507 of the family's 1533-position model. The record is from RNAcentral.
AACGAACGCUGGCGGCAUGCCUAACACAUGCAAGUCGAACGAGACCUUCGGGUCUAGUGGCGCACGGGUGCGUAACGCGUGGGAACCUGCCCUUAGGUUCGGAAUAACUCCCCGAAAGGGGUGCUAAUACCGGAUAAUGUCUUCGGACCAAAGAUUUAUCGCCUUUGGGUGGGCCCGCGUUGGAUUAGCUAGUUGGUAGGGUAAAAGCCUACCAAGGCGACGAUCCAUAGCUGGUCUGAGAGGAUGAUCAGCCACACUGGGACUGAGACACGGCCCAGACUCCUACGGGAGGCAGCAGUGGGGAAUAUUGGACAAUGGGCGAAAGCCUGAUCCAGCAAUGCCGCGUGAGUGAUGAAGGCCUUAGGGUUGUAAAGCUCUUUUACCCGGGAUGAUGAUGACAGUACCGGGAGAAUAAGCGCCGGCUAACUCCGUG